Molecule: long non-coding RNA, 1779 nt
Filed under: Podarcis lilfordi (Lilford's wall lizard)
Lineage: Eukaryota; Metazoa; Chordata; Lepidosauria; Squamata; Lacertidae
Source: RNAcentral
AAAAUCUUUGACACCUGGAGACUCAGGGAAGUUGAACAGAUAAGGAUUUAUUUUGCAGAACAAAGUUGGUCAAACCAAAGAUGUGUCAGGAGAUGAAAUUCUUUAAGGAAACAGUUAACUUAUUUAUAAUUAUAUUAAAUCUAGUGGAUGUUACAGGUUUCUAAACAAGGUAGUAAAUGCACAGCUUAUUUUCACUUCAGUUGCUUAUUUUCACUUAUUACUCUUCAGUUAGAUGUUAUAGGUUUCUCGACAACAUGGUAAAUGCUCUGCUUAUUGUGAGUUAUUUCACUUCAGUCCCUUAACUUUUUAUCAUGGUGUUACAGUACAUUGGUUCUUAAACAAGGUGGUAUUUUCUGUCAGUUUCCCAGUCUUCUAUAAAUCACUCUCCUGAGGUACUUCUAAAAGUGUAACAGAUCCAGGGGUCACCACACCCUUCCUAACUGGUUUUGGAUUCUUCUUUUUCAGGAUGAUCACUCCUCCUGACUGAAGUGCGACCCAAGUAGAGUGUUUCUUCACAGCUCUUCUUCUUGCUCAAACUCAGCCUCCCAGUUUUCUCUUGUCUGAAUACUCUCACAAGACACCAAACACUGUUUUUUCAGUCUAAGCUCAGAGACUCCUUUCUCUAGCUGUAGAUAUUUUCCUCAGAGUGGAUGUUACACACACAGGUCAGGAGCUUUACUCCUCUCCUACUUAAUGUCAGAACCAACUUUCUCCUCAGCUCUCAGAACACUCCAAUUCUUCGACUGCUUUUCUUUUUCCCUCCCAAAGCCUCCCAGAGUGAGGCUACCUGCUCUUCCAGUAUUACCUAGACAGUGGGAAACCGCUUUAACUUCUGUAAUAAUGGUGUCCAUAGAUUUUAAAUUACAACUUAUGCAACAGAAUUAUACAACAGAAAAAUAUUAUUUAGAAUUUAUUGGACUCCAUUAGACUUUUAUAUAAAAAAGGACUGUCUAAUGUAGCUCUAUGUUGGAGAUGUAAUAAGGAUAAUGCCUCUUUGAAAUGUAUGUUAUUGCAGUGGCCUAGACUCACUAGGUUUGGGGAGAAAGUGCUGGACUGUAUAAUAUGACUGUGCAGAAAAAGUUAAUAUUCUCAAUGGAAAAUUUUCUUUUGAAUUAUAUCUAUUGUAUGCAAGCUGACAGCUGGACAACAAAGAUGGAUUCUAUGUGCCUUAACUGUGGCCAAGAGACUGGUACUAAUGAAUGUAAAGAAGAACACUAUGGUCCCCUUUAAUCAAUGGAUUGAUGACAUGACAACACUUGCGAUGGCUUAUAGAUGCAGACUUUGUUUGCAUAAAUAUAUUGACUUUUGGAAUGAGUAUACAGAAUAAAGUAGGUUAUUAAUAUAUGUACUAGGACAAUAAUAAUACUCAUAUAGCUGUAUGAUAAUGUAUGGUACUGUAACUGCUUAUAUUUAGUGUAUUAUAUUAUAUAUUUUGCCUUUUUUCACUGCCAAUACUGUAUAGAUACACGAGCUAGGUUCAUCUUGCCUAUACUACAUAAAUUUCCAGGUCGUACAGAACAACUUUAUACCUCCCUGCUACUUCAAGAUGAAAACCCAGAUGUGACAUACUCAGUUGCUAGAUUUUGUGCUGCCUGAUGGAUAUUCAUCGAAGGAUGGUUUGCUCCACAAACUAGGUCCAAAAUGCAAGACUUGUGUUCUUUCACUCUUCCUCCCUUAUAGUUGCUUUUAAUUGUUGGCCUUGUUUUUAUCUUUUAUGUGUGAUAUAAUCACCUUUUAACUACUAGUUUUUAUCCCUUACCUGUUUUAAGUCUUAUGCGU